UCGUGCUAUGCGGGGGGCUGGCGGUCCCCUGUGACCCGAAAUCCGCCAAUGCGGGGCAGAGAGGAACCAUGAGUUCGGUCCGGUGCGAGUCCAGUGGGAAAUGUCCCCGGGUGUUGAAAGCCGGGUCCGGUGAUGGUCGCCACCGUGAACCCCGCCAGGACCGGAAGGUAGCAACGGUAGCAGGUUUGAGACCUGGGUGUGAGGUGACCUUGCCAGAGCCGACAACUCCAGUGACGCAGGGAAGGUGGCGGUCGGAGCUGGGUGCACGA
RNAcentral lists this signal recognition particle RNA (269 nucleotides) under Candidatus Aminicenantota bacterium. RNAcentral describes it as "Candidatus Aminicenantes bacterium (sediment metagenome) signal recognition particle sRNA large type". It matches the Rfam family "Bacterial large signal recognition particle RNA". Rfam says of the family: The signal recognition particle (SRP) is a universally conserved ribonucleoprotein involved in the co-translational targeting of proteins to membranes. Archaeal SRP consists of a 7S RNA and homologues of the eukaryotic SRP19 and SRP54 proteins. The record is from RNAcentral. Lineage: Bacteria; Candidatus Aminicenantota.